GUAGCUUAUUUAUGCUGGAUUUUGAAAUACGACCAUUUGUUGCAUGAUCUAAACCCUUGCCAAUCUUGCUCACCCCUUCAUAAGUGAGGAUUGAUCAACGUUUAUGAAAUGGAAAUAUGAGAGGAUGAAUGCAAACUUGGAGAUGAUUGCAGUUGACAUGGAGAUGGGGAGUAAUUCGAUUGGUAAUGGGACGUAGAUAAAUAAGAAGGCAUGAAGUUCUCUUCCUUGGGAGUACAAAAUGGAGGAUAUUAUUCUUUUGGAUGUUGAUGAUUUUUAUAGUCACCAUGGAUUAGAGAAUGCUAUUGACAUAGAUGGUGAUGAUAGCAAUGACUCUAAUGUAAGACAAGAUACAAGUGAGACUCGUAUGGUGGAGCCUCUAACCAUAUAAUUUAGUAUAGAGGUCCCACAAGAGGGUAUGUGAUUUGAGUCCCAUGAAGCUGGAUUAGAUUUUUAUAAUAAAUAUGUUAAGAAAUUUGGUUUUAGUAUUCAAUGUUUUCUUCGACUCGUAGAACAAGGAAAGAUGGAUCAUUCAUCACUCGUAAAUUUGUAUGCUCAAAACAAGGCAAGCGGCACAAGAUAUAUGAGGCAAAUUAGUCUCGGCCUUAUACAAGGAUAGGGUGCAGAGCCAUGUUAAGAAUCAAGAAAGAUGAAUAUGGUAUAUGGUUUAUUGCAAAUCGCAAUAAAGAUCACACUCAUGACUUAACUUCACAAUCCAAAAUCCAUCUCCUUAUGUUACAUCGUAAAAUUCUGAAGUACACACGAGAGAUGAUUCGUAUGCAUAACUAAUGUGGGUUAACUACCCCAAAGAUAAUGAAAGUGUUGAGUACACAGGGUGAAGGUCCAAGGAGUCUCCCUUUUGUAGAGCUAAAAUGUAAGAAUGAAACAUAUAAAAAUCAGAAGAAAAUAGUGGUGGAGAUCUAUGGAUGAUGAGAUUGCAUUGUAGAACGACAUUUUGAAAGUAAAAUACGGUGACGACAGAUACAGUCUAUAGUUGGGUGGUAACGGUAAUCAGAGAAAGCAAUCUAUAGUUUGGAAAGGUUUUACAAACUAAAAUAUUCAUGACAAUUUAUUCUAGAUGGGAGGUGGGUAAUGGAUCCAAGGUUCCUUUUUGGUAUGGUAAGUAGGUUGGUGAUGCUCCUCAAAGGUAUUCCUUUCCUCUUGUUUUUAAUGCUUCUUCUAAUCCAAUGGCAAAAGUGACGGAGAUGUUCUCAAGGGAAAGAGGAGUUUGGGACAUUGGGUAUAUUUACAAUAGAGCUUCUGAUGAAUUUAUUGUGCAGAUGGCAGGGUUGUUACAUGUCUUGGAGAAGGUAAACUUCUUUCCUGAUUUUAAGGAUGAGGUGGUAUGGGAGGCUGAGAAUGAUGGAAUUUAUUUCAGUAAAAUCUGUGUAUAAAUUGUUGUUCUAUGAUAGGAAAGGUGGAAUAGAUGCUCAUUAAAGAGAAUAUGGACAUGGAAGAUACCACAAAAAGCCAAGGUAUUCUUGUAGGUCUUAUUUCAAGGGAAAUCAUUGACUGUUGACAAAUUGAUGAGUAGAGGAAGAAUUAUAUCCAACAUUUGCAUUAUGUAUAAGGAUAGUGACGAGAACAUUUGCAAUAUGUGCCCCAAUUUGGGAGUAUAUCACUACACAAUGAGUUUUUUUUUAGGAUGUGCUUUGUUCCAUAGAGCGAGGAGUCUUUUACAUGAUCGUUCACAAAGUGGCAUGAAGUGAUGAAUGGGUGCAAAACCCAAGUCAAUCAUCAAAGAUCAAGACAAGGCAAUGGCACCUGCAAUAAAAAAAGGUGUUCCCAGAGUCCCAAUGCAGGUUAUGUAGAUGACAUAUUACACAAAAGAUUGAGCAAAAAAUGGCACAAGUUGUGCACAAACAUCCAUCACUCCAUAGGGACACAAAAAUAUAUUGACCAUUGUACUACCAUUGCACAAUUUGAAGAUGAAUGGCCAAGAAUAUUAGAAAUAUAUGAUUGAAUGAAUAAUGAAUGAUUGAAAGUCUUUAAAAGAAAUCUGGCAUCAAUAGGUGGAUGUAUAGCUGCAAGAUUACUUCUUUGUUGGCAAUAGGACUAGUAUAAGAAUUGAAGCCAUGAAUAAGCAUAUCAAGGCCUAUGUGAAUUUUCAUACUAAUUUGACUACAUUUGUUGGCUAAUUACAAGAAUUAAUUAACAAUAAAUUUGAUGAAGAAAACUCUGCAGACUUCAAAUCUCACAAUGAGACACCAAUUAUGAAGAAUGCCACUCACAUAGAGAAGCAAAUGGCUCAAAUUUAUAUAUCAACUGUCUUUUAAAACUUCUUUCAGCCAGAGUUAAUGAGAGCCGUUAAUCUUAUUUGUGAUGUGCAAGACGAUGAUGGGGGCUCUAUGCACUUUAAGUUUGAAAGAAUAUGGGACAUGUCGCCCAUUCUACGUGGUAGAAUUCACUAUCAUUGAGGAGAAAGCAACAUGUAGCGACCAUAUAUAUGAGUGCAUGGGUAUCCCAUGUAGCCAUAUGCUUAGGGUAUUUGUAUUUAAAAAUAUACUUUGAGUUACCCCAACACUAUAUAAUGAAGUGAUGGACAAAGGGGUUGCUCGUGUUGGUUAUAGAGUUCAAAUACAAGCCCAUACUUAUUCCACAUGCUACAAUGAUCUAUUGCAAAGGUGCAACAUUCUAUCAACUAAUGGGCAGUGAAUUUGAGUGUAUAUGAGUACGCAAAGAUGCUUAUAGAUGAGGUACAUGUAAAGAUUGUUUCUAGGGUUGACAUGGAGAAAGCUUCUUAAAAGCAUGCUUCUUCAACCUAUGGUAGCCCCACAUCCACAGGAAUCCCCACCCUAUGUGGGGUUCUCAUCCUCACUGUGACUAAUUAUUGAGGCUUCAAUUUGUGCAAAGCCAAAAGGACAACCAAUUCAUGUGAUAAUCAAACGUAGGAAUAAGCAAAGAACGAGUAAGAGAAAGUGCACUAAAUGUGGAGUCAUAGGUCAGACAAACAUAAUUGUUCAUCUAUGCAUUGCAAAUAGUAUGAUUAGACAUCUUUCUUACUUGUGAUCUUACUUUACUAUUUAGAUGCCAUUAUCUGGGCUCACCGUUCUUUGCUUUAAAUGGAAGCAUACGUGCUUAUAUUUAAAGAACUUAUGGAAUGUUGUUUACUAGAUGGUUCUUUUUGGAAUAUAGUUUAUGGAAAAUAAUGUCAUGAAAAUUUCUUACUCAAAUGCUCUACUAUUACAAAGUUAUUAUUUCUUGUAUAUUUAUAUAUAGGGGGCAGUAUUUAGAGCACAAGUAACCUUCAAGGCAGCACAAGUAAUCUUCAAGGGAGCAUAAUUGACACCAAGAAACCUCUUUUACACCUUUUUGAGCUUAUGGUUCCUUGUAUCCUUUUUGUAUCUAUUAUGUAGUUUGUUUUUUAGAUGUAUAGUAUUUUUUGAGUUACCUUAUCUUUUUGGCUGGGGGGUUUUGUAUUGAGCACUUCUGGCUUGGGGCUGCCUAUUUUUUUGUACUCUAUGUACUUUCUGGUUACACAUAGGUUAACAAUUUUAAAACAAAAAAUUAUAUGUCUUUUUUGUAAAGAGAGUUUUGGAUGCUAAUUGGAAUGUUGUAAGAUCACUUGGGUGCAUAUAAAUACAUAGUUUCUUUGUGUCAACAAAUUUGGCAACUAAUUUGAGGGUCCCCAUUUUAUUUAUAUAGAAAUGUAAUAUUUUUUCUUUUGUGAUCAGAAGUGCUUGUUAAGGGCUAUGCUAUCAGCUUUUAUUUAUGUAAAUUUAAAGAUGAUUUGAAUUUUUUAAAGAAUAUGCUAUCAUUUUGAUUCAUGCAAGUAUUGGUUGUAGGAUUUUUAUGUUCAUUGAAUUUGAGAUGAACUCAUUGUUGUGAUGUUAAGAUGUUUGAAGAAUUAUUUUCCUAGUUAUCCAUCAGUUUCAACAGGUGUUUCAUGUGUAAUUUGGACUAAAUGCCGCUACUAGUAGAAACAAAUCAAUUGCGAUGAGUAUCUGUUUCAGUAGGUGUUACUUUUGUUUGAACAAAACUUAGGCCGAUGUACAUACACUAUGUAGUAGUGUGUAUAGGUUGAUUUCAAUGUAUGUGCACUGUUGCGUAGCAUGUAUAUGUUGUUAUUGAGGUCCACAUGCUAUGACACAGGUGUAAACGAUGUUAACAAUGUGAACACAUUGCUAACAAUGUGUAUAUACUACUGACAACUUGUACACACUUUUAACAUUGUGUAUGUGUUGAUUUCAAAGCUUGUAUAUUGUUCAUAAUGUGUAUAUGUUGAUCCCAGUAUUUGCAUACUUUCAUAUGAGCAUACAUAGGAUGUUACUAACAUGUAUUGUAAGGCAUAUGAGCUAUAUGCAUCAUCGAAGGAUAGGCAAAAACAAACUAUAUUCCUACUGUGGUACCAGAACGAGCCAAAAAUAUUCUAAACUCAACGCCUGAGACAAGAUUGGUUGGAACGAGAUGGAGUUCAAUGAGUAGUAGUGUGUAUAUACUGCUAACAUCAUGUACACACUUUUAACAAUGUGUAUUGAUUACAAUGCUUGUAUGUUGCUCAUAAUGUGCAUAUGUUGUUCUCAGUGUUUGCAUACUUUUACAUGAGCAUAUAUAGGAUCUUACUAACAUGUGUUGCAAGUCAUAUGAGCUAUAUGUAAUGUUUCUUAGUUUGAUUAAUAAUUUGACUCGCAGGCUCUAUUUAGAGUUUGUGUAGUUAACUCGAAUACAUGUUGAUUGAUACAAGUUUUGGAAGAGUUGCCGGACAUACAUAUUAUGCUUGGUUAUUACAUCUAUUAGUGUUGCUAGGUUUUGGCGUCACAGUGAGCUCUAGAGUGUUCGAGAGCUAUUGCUUGCAUUUGGAGACAGAGAUUGAGCUAAAAUGUGGAGCGGUAUAGAUUGACCUUUAGAAAGUAUAGCAUCUAUGUCAACAUAACUGUGGAGCAGCAUAGAUUGGCCUAAAAUGUUGUGGCAACACAAUCGUUUGAUAUUCUUUGUGUCAAUAACUUUGACAACUAAUUUGAAGGUCUCCACAUUAUUGAUAAGGGAAUGUAAUACUGUUUUUGUGAUGACAAGUGCGUGUUAAAGACUAUGCUAUCAAUUGAUAGUUAUGUAAAUUUAAAGACGAUUUCAUUUUGUUAAAGAAUGUGUUGUCAUUUUGAUUUA
Non-coding RNA from Amborella trichopoda, 5100 nucleotides. The record is from RefSeq and is a predicted model, not a curated record. NCBI's taxonomy places the organism in Eukaryota, Viridiplantae, Streptophyta, Magnoliopsida, Amborellales, Amborellaceae.